RNAcentral lists this ribosomal RNA (432 nucleotides) under uncultured bacterium. RNAcentral's name for it is "partial 16S ribosomal RNA". It matches the Rfam family "Bacterial small subunit ribosomal RNA", at positions 29 to 507 of the family's 1533-position model. The record is from RNAcentral.
ACGAACGCUGGCGGCAUGCCUAACACAUGCAAGUCGAACGAGACCUUCGGGUCUAGUGGCGCACGGGUGCGUAACGCGUGGGAACCUGCCCUUAGGUUCGGAAUAACUCCCCGAAAGGGGUGCUAAUACCGGAUAAUGUCUUCGGACCAAAGAUUUAUCGCCUUUGGAUGGGCCCGCGUUGGAUUAGCUAGUUGGUAGGGUAAAAGCCUACCAAGGCGACGAUCCAUAGCUGGUCUGAGAGGGUGAUCAGCCACACUGGGACUGAGACACGGCCCAGACUCCUACGGGAGGCAGCAGUGGGGAAUAUUGGACAAUGGGCGAAAGCCUGAUCCAGCAAUGCCGCGUGAGUGAUGAAGGCCUUAGGGUUGUAAAGCUCUUUUACCCGGGAUGAUAAUGACAGUACCGGGAGAAUAAGCUCCGGCUAACUCCGUG